GAUGAACGCUGGCGGCGUGCUUAACACAUGCAAGUCGAACGAUGAAGCCCAGCUUGCUGGGUGGAUUAGUGGCGAACGGGUGAGUAACACGUGAGUAACCUGCCCUUGACUCUGGGAUAAGCCUGGGAAACUGGGUCUAAUACCGGAUAGGAACGUCCACCGCAUGGUGGGUGUUGGAAAGAUUUAUCGGUCAUGGAUGGACUCGCGGCCUAUCAGCUUGUUGGUGAGGUAAUGGCUCACCAAGGCGACGACGGGUAGCCGGCCUGAGAGGGUGACCGGCCACACUGGGACUGAGACACGGCCCAGACUCCUACGGGAGGCAGCAGUGGGGAAUAUUGCACAAUGGGCGAAAGCCUGAUGCAGCGACGCCGCGUGAGGGAUGACGGCCUUCGGGUUGUAAACCUCUUUCAGUAGGGAAGAAGCGAAAGUGACGGUACCUGCAGAAGAAGCACCGGCUAAUUACGUG
RNAcentral lists this ribosomal RNA (466 nucleotides) under uncultured bacterium. Its description in RNAcentral is "partial 16S ribosomal RNA". It matches the Rfam family "Bacterial small subunit ribosomal RNA", at positions 28 to 507 of the family's 1533-position model. The record is from RNAcentral.